GAUGAACGCUGGCGGCGUGCCUAAUACAUGCAAGUCGAGCGAACAGACGAGGAGCUUGCUCCUCUGACGUUAGCGGCGGACGGGUGAGUAACACGUGGAUAACCUACCUAUAAGACUGGGAUAACUUCGGGAAACCGGAGCUAAUACCGGAUAAUAUAUUGAACCGCAUGGUUCAAUAGUGAAAGACGGUUUUGCUGUCACUUAUAGAUGGAUCCGCGCCGCAUUAGCUAGUUGGUAAGGUAACGGCUUACCAAGGCAACGAUGCGUAGCCGACCUGAGAGGGUGAUCGGCCACACUGGAACUGAGACACGGUCCAGACUCCUACGGGAGGCAGCAGUAGGGAAUCUUCCGCAGUGGGCGAAAGCCUGACGGAGCAACGCCGCGUGAGUGAUGAAGGUCUUCGGAUCGUAAAACUCUGUUAUUAGGGAAGAACAAAUGUGUAAGUAACUAUGCACGUCUUGACGGUACCUAAUCAGAAAGCCACGGCUAAUUACGUG
This 497-nucleotide ribosomal RNA is filed under the name uncultured bacterium. RNAcentral describes it as "partial 16S ribosomal RNA". It matches the Rfam family "Bacterial small subunit ribosomal RNA", at positions 28 to 507 of the family's 1533-position model. The record is from RNAcentral.